UUGACAUGCACGGUGCCGCCCCAGAGAUGGCGUUUCCUUUGGGGUCGUGCACAGGUGGUGCAUGGUUGUCGUCAGCUCGUGUCGUGAGAUGUUGGGUUAAGUCCCGCAACGAGCGCAACCCUCGUCCUGUAUUGCCAGCAGCGGUUUCGGCCGGCUGGGGACUUGCGGGAGACUGCCGGGGUCAACUCGGAGGAAGGUGGGGAUGACGUCAAAUCAUCAUGCCCCUUAUGUCCUGGGCUGCACGCAUGCUACAAUGGCCGGUACAGAGGGCUGCGAUGCCGUGAGGCGGAGCGAAUCCCGGAAAGCCGGUCUCAGUUCGGAUCGGGGUCUGCAACUCGACCCCGUGAAGUCGGAGUCGCUAGUAAUCGCAGAUCAGC
RNAcentral lists this ribosomal RNA (377 nucleotides) under uncultured Actinospica sp. RNAcentral's name for it is "bacterial SSU rRNA". It matches the Rfam family "Bacterial small subunit ribosomal RNA", at positions 981 to 1353 of the family's 1533-position model. The record is from RNAcentral. Lineage: Bacteria; Bacillati; Actinomycetota; Actinomycetes; Catenulisporales; Actinospicaceae.